AAUAGGAAAUUUAAGAGCAUAUGGUGGAUGCCUAGGCUUCUGAGAAGCGAUGAAGGACGUUGUGUAGCAACGAUAUGAUCGGGGAGCCGCUGAACAGGCGUUAAUCCGGUCGUUUCCGAAUGAGGCAACUCCUCUGGUAGAGAUACCAGAGACAUUCAUGCUUGACAUGAAUGAGCGUACCCUGGGAAGUAAAACAUUUCAGUACCAGGAGGAAGAGAAAACAAUGUCGAUGUAUGUCGACAACAUUUCGUUAGUAGUGGCGAGCGAAAGCGAAAUAGCCCAAACUCGGUCUUAAUCGCGGAUUAUGUCGCAAGACGUAGGACGCGAUUAAGAUCGGGGGUAGUAAGGUGGCAGUGUCACUAUUUAUAGUGGAAAGAGUUACAAAGUGUUUCGUUAGCGUAAUUGUCUGGAAAGACAGACCCCAGAGGGUGAUAGUCCCGUGCGCGAAAGCGAAACACCUCUUUUAUUGCCAUUCUUGAGUACCUCAGGACACGAAUAGCCUGAGGGAAUCUGGCGGAACUAACCGCUAAGGCUAAAUAUUCCAGAAGACCGAUAGUGAACAAGUACCGUGAGGGAAAGGUGAAAAGUAUCCCGGAGAGGGAGGUGAAAUAGAACUGAAACCAUAUGCUUACAAGGAGUCGGAGCGGUAAUUUAUUACCGUCACGGCGUGCCUAUUGAAGAAUGAGCCAACGAGUUGAUGCGUGCUGCAAGGCUAAGGGCUUGAAUGCCCGGAGCCGCAGGGAAACCGAGUGUGAAUAGCGCGACAAAGUAGUACGUAUCAGACCCGAAGCCGGGUGAGCUUGCCAUGUGCAGGUUGAACUCUGUCGAAAGAUAGAGGAAGGACCGAACGCUAGAGACGUGCAAUACUCUGCGAUGACAUGUGGUAUGGAGUGAUAAGCUCAUCGAACUCGGUAAUAGCUGGUUCUCUCCGAAAUAUGUUUUGGCAUAGCGUCGUUCGUUCCCAGAGGGGGUAGAGCACUGGAAGAUUCUGACAGGUCGAAAGAUCGCAGAACCUAUCAAACUCCGAAUACCUCUGGUCAAAAGAACGGCAGUAAGUCUGUGGGGGCUAAGCUCCAUUAGACAAAAGGGAAACAGCCCGAAUCUCAAUUUAAGGUCCCAAAAUUCAUGCUAAGUACAAGGGAGGUGGUGGAUUUUCUUCGACGGUGAGGAUGUUGGCUUAGAAGCAGCCAUCAUUUAAAGAAAGCGUAACAGCUCACUCACUUAGAGAGUCUGCGCCGCAGAUGAUCGGGGUUAAAGCAUGAUACCGAAACUGAGGAUUGCAUCUAUAUUCGUAUAGAUGUUCUGGUAGGAGAGUAUUCUCUUCGCGCUGAAGGCAAAGGGGUGACCCAUGCUGGAGCGUAGAGAAGUAAGAAUGUUGGCACAAGUAACCACAAUGCGGAUGGGAUAUCCGCACGCCGAAAGAUUAAGGUUUCCUUCGCAAUGGAUAUCAGCGAAGGGUUAGUCGGGCCUAAGGGGAUGGCGAAAGCCGUACCUGAUGGACACACGGUUAAUAUUCCGUGACUCACACCCGGUGCGAUGGGAUGACGGAGCACAGUAUGCGUAGCCCCUUAUUGGAUUGGGGUCUUUGGUCAGAGGGCGUUUGCGAGGAAAAUCCCGCAAGCAGCUAUUCAAUUAGCGAGCCUAAAGACAGGAGGGAAGCCGUAGCUUGCUACGGGGAACUAUGCAAAGCGCGCUUUCAAGAAAAGUCUCUAAGCACAACCGGAGGUGAUCCGUACCGAAAACCGAAACAGGUGAUCACGUCGAGAAGACGAAGGCGAACGAGUGAAGGUACUUCAAGGAACUCGGCAAAAAAGCAGCCGUAAGUUAGCGAUAAGGCUUGCCCUUUGUUUACUCAAGGGGCCGCAGCUAAAGUAUGCCUGGCGACUGUUUAUCAAAAACACAGCUCCCUGCGAACUCGUAAGAGGAUGUAUAGGGGGUGACACUUGACCAAUGCCAGAAGGUCAACCAUUUGCGGUGCGAUUAUAUCAAGCUGAUGAAUGUAAGCCCUGGUGAAUGUCGGCGGUAACUAUAACCGUCCUAAGGUUCUGCAUCUUUCUUCGGAAGGAUGCAGAAGGACUGGGACGGAUCUAUAGUUGUGUUGAUAAAUAAGAGCCUAAUAGAAAUUACACAGAUAGCUACCUGAGGUGGCAGUAAUGCACCGUCAGUCCGUACGCGGUCAAAUAGAGACCAACGCCGCGCAGCCUACUCCCUUAAAAGAGAGGCUGAAGAUAGAGUCCAACUCUGAGGAAUAGUUGAGCGCAAUUCCUUGUCAGGUAAGUUCUGACGCGUUGAAUAGUGUAACGUCUGGGCAACUGUCUCGAAGUACAGCUCGGUGAAAAUACAAUCCCGGUGAAGAUGCCGGGUACCUGCAGUUAGACGAAAAGACCCUAGAAGCUUUACUACAGCUUGAUAUUGAGCAUACGAUUGCGAUGCGUAGCAUAGACGUGAGACUUUGAAGUGCGGUUUCGGCCAGCAUGGAGUCGCCAGUGAAAUAGCGUUCUUCGCCGUUGUAUGUUCUAACCCCGAGGGCAAAAACCGCGGGAGACAGUAUCUGGUGGGUAGUUUUAGUGGGGCGCUAUCCUCCUAAAAAGUAACGGAGGAGCCUAUUAAGGUAAGUUAGCCGCGAAUGGAAACCGUGGCGAUAGUGUAUGGGCAUAAACUUGCUUAACUGUAAGACGUACUUGUCGAGCAGAUGCGAAAGCAGAGCUAAGUGAACCGACCUUACGCAUUAGAUGCGGGGGAAGAUUAUCGGACAAAAGCUACUCUAGGGAUAACAGGCUCGUUCCGCCUAAGAGUUCAUAUCGACGGCGGAGUUCGGCACCUCGAUGUCGGCUCGUCUUAUCCUGGGGCUGGAGAAGGUCCCAAGGGUUUGGCUGUUCGCCAAUUAAAAAGGCACGUGAGCUGGGUUCAGACCGUGGAGAACAUAAUCGAAAGAUUAUAGGCUCUACAGUCUGAAUCCCUCGGACAUCAAGGACAAACAAACGAGACACAACCAAUCACGGCGGUCAUGAAGGGCAACUUUCAUGUACGUCAUCAACUAAUAUCGGUAAAACCCACAAUGGAGAUGAUUGGGGGCAAUACCGAGGAAAGGGAGCGCGGGUUCCCGUCCGUAGAGACUACACGUUGAUCUCCUUAUGAAUAAAUAAAUAAGGAUGAAGAUAUAGUCCAUUCCGCAUGGCAACAUGCGAAAAGAAGCGUGAGACAGGUUGGUCUCCUAUCUACUGCAGGCGUUGAUUCUUGAGGAGCUUUGCUUCUAGUACGAGAGGACCGAAGUGAACGGACCGCUGGUCUAUCUGCUGUCACGCCCGUGGCAACGCAGAGUAGCUAUGUCCGGAAGGGAUAACCGCUGAAAGCAUCUAAGCGGGAAGCCCACUCCAAGAUAAGGAAUCGUUUGAGGGCCCUAGAAGACUACUAGGUUGAUAGGCUUUAGGUGUAAGCACAGUAAUGUGUUAAGCCGAGAAGUACUAAUUACCCGAUCUUAUU
RNAcentral lists this ribosomal RNA (3483 nucleotides) under Candidatus Tayloriibacteriota bacterium. RNAcentral's name for it is "23S ribosomal RNA". It matches the Rfam family "Bacterial large subunit ribosomal RNA". The record is from RNAcentral. Lineage: Bacteria; Candidatus Tayloriibacteriota.